GUCUAGAGGCUUCGACAAUGCCCGAAAGGGUGAUCGAGCGAUGCCGCGUGCGGGAUGAAGGCCUUCGGGUUGUAAACCGCUUUUACCUGGGAAGAACGCCCGUCUCGUGAAGAUGGGUUUGACGGUACCAGAGGAAUAAGCCCCGGCUAACUCCGUGCCAGCAGCCGCGGUAAGACGGAGGGGCAAGCGUUGUUCGGAAUUAUUGGGCGUAAAGGGCUCGUAGGCGGAUCUGUAAGUCUGGCGUGAAAUCUCCACCGCUUAACGGGGAGCUGCCGCUGGAUACUGCAGAUCUGGAGUUCGGUAGAGGAUCGUGGAAUUUCGGGUGUAGCGGUGGAAUGCGUAGAUAUCCGAAAGAACACCAGUGGCGAAGGCGACGAUCUGGGCCUGAACUGACGCUGAGGAGCGAAAGCUAGGGGAGCAAACGGGAUUAGAUACCCGGGUAGUCC
Molecule: ribosomal RNA, 446 nt
Filed under: uncultured bacterium
Lineage: Bacteria
Description: partial 16S ribosomal RNA
Rfam family: Bacterial small subunit ribosomal RNA
Source: RNAcentral